This 540-nucleotide ribosomal RNA is filed under the name uncultured archaeon. RNAcentral's name for it is "bacterial SSU rRNA". It matches the Rfam family "Bacterial small subunit ribosomal RNA", at positions 509 to 1050 of the family's 1533-position model. The record is from RNAcentral.
CAGCCGCCGCGGUAAUACGUAGGGUGCGAGCGUUGUCCGGAAUUAUUGGGCGUAAAGGGCUCGUAGGCGGUUUGUCGCGUCGGGAGUGAAAACUCAGGGCUUAACUCUGAGCUGGCUUCCGAUACGGGCAGACUAGAGGUAUGCAGGGGAGAACGGAAUUCCUGGUGUAGCGGUGAAAUGCGCAGAUAUCAGGAGGAACACCGGUGGCGAAGGCGGUUCUCUGGGCAUUACCUGACGCUGAGGAGCGAAAGUGUGGGGAGCGAACAGGAUUAGAUACCCUGGUAGUCCACACCGUAAACGUUGGGCGCUAGGUGUGGGGCCUAUUCCAUGGGUUCCGUGCCGCAGCUAACGCAUUAAGCGCCCCGCCUGGGGAGUACGGCCGCAAGGCUAAAACUCAAAGGAAUUGACGGGGGCCCGCACAAGCGGCGGAGCAUGCGGAUUAAUUCGAUGCAACGCGAAGAACCUUACCUGGGUUUGACAUAUGCCGGAAAGCUCUAGAGAUAGAGCCCCUUUUAGUCGGUAUACAGGAGGUGCAUGGCC